RNAcentral lists this non-coding RNA (85 nucleotides) under Foraminifera environmental sample. Lineage: Eukaryota; Foraminifera. The record is from RNAcentral.
AAAGACCGAAGAGAAAGAUGACAAGUAAAAUUUGCAAUUGACCCACUUUUUUUUUUGUUUUUUUGUUCUGUUUUUUUUUUGUUUU